GAUGAACGCUGGCGGCGUGCCUAAUACAUGCAAGUCGAGCGAACAGACGAGGAGCUUGCUCCUCUGACGUUAGCGGCGGACGGGUGAGUAACACGUGGAUAACCUACCUAUAAGACUGGGAUAACUUCGGGAAACCGGAGCUAAUACCGGAUAAUAUAUUGAACCGCAUGGUUCAAUAGUGAAAGACGGUUUUGCUGUCACUUAUAGAUGGAUCCGCGCCGCAUUAGCUAGUUGGUAAGGUAACGGCUUACCAAGGCAACGAUGCGUAGCCGACCUGAGAGGGGGAUUGGCCACACUGGAACUGAGAAAAGGGCCAGACCCCUACGGGAGGGAGCAGUAGGGAAUCUUCCGGAAUGGGGGAAAGCCUGACGGAGCAACGCCGCGUGAGUGAUGAAGGGUUUCGGAUCGUAAAACCCUGUUAUUAGGGAAGAACAAAUGUGUAAGUAACUAUGCACGGCUUGACGGUACCUAAUCAGAAAGCCACGGCUAACUACGUG
Molecule: ribosomal RNA, 497 nt
Filed under: uncultured bacterium
Lineage: Bacteria
Description: partial 16S ribosomal RNA
Rfam family: Bacterial small subunit ribosomal RNA
Source: RNAcentral